This 492-nucleotide ribosomal RNA is filed under the name uncultured bacterium. RNAcentral's name for it is "partial 16S ribosomal RNA". It matches the Rfam family "Bacterial small subunit ribosomal RNA", at positions 29 to 507 of the family's 1533-position model. The record is from RNAcentral.
AGUGAACGCUGGCGGUAGGCCUAACACAUGCAAGUCGAACGGCAGCACAGUAAGAGCUUGCUCUUACGGGUGGCGAGUGGCGGACGGGUGAGGAAUACAUCGGAAUCUACUUUUUCGUGGGGGAUAACGUAGGGAAACUUACGCUAAUACCGCAUACGACCUACGGGUGAAAGCAGGGGAUCUUCGGACCUUGCGCGAUUGAAUGAGCCGAUGUCGUAUUAGCUAGUUGGCGGGGUAAAGGCCCACCAAGGCGACGAUCCGUAGCUGGUCUGAGAGGAUGAUCAGCCACACUGGAACUGAGACACGGUCCAGACUCCUACGGGAGGCAGCAGUGGGGAAUAUUGGACAAUGGGAGCAAGACUGAUCCAGACAUACCGCGUGGGUGAAGAAGGCCUUCGGGUUGUAAAGCCCUUUUGUUGGGAAAGAAAAGCAGCAGGUUAAUACCCCGCUGUUCUGACGGUACCCAAAGAAUAAGCACCGGCUAACUUAGUG